UCCGUCUGCCUCGGGAGAAGAUCCCGCCCGUAUCUACUGAAGAACUAAAGAACUGUGAACAAUCCAAUUGUCUUGGCUCAGCUGACAACACCUGGCAAGGUGGCAAGGUCCCAGAGGAGAAGGAGUCACAGGCUGUGUCAUACACACCAAAGCAAAGAAGAUCUUGGGCAGCUGUACAAGUGUCCCUCAGGGAGAGAGCCCUGUGUACCCAGAGGGCAUGGAAGCUUCAAGGAGAAUUCUUGAGCCAGUGGCUGUGAAAUGGGACAACCCAGCUGCAUCCUGCCUGAUGGUCCUCCCAAACCUGCAACUGCUGGGAGUGGGGUUAUCUCAGAGGCUAUCAGUGUGCGUACAUUAUGACCCUGGAGACACAUACAGUCUUAAGCAAAAAAGGCUGGGAAGCACUGAAUUGAGCAUGGUAGGGUUCAAAAUAGGAAGUUAACUUAUUUAUACCUCUUUUUAUUCUUUUAUUCUUUUUAAUUUUUGUGGGUACAUAUUAAGUGUAUAUAUUUAUGGAAUUCAUGAAAUAUUUUGAUAUAGGCAUAUAUAAUAGGUAAUAAUCCCAUCAGGGUAAAUCACAUCACCUCAUUUAUCCUUUCUUUUUUGUUACAAAUAAUCCAAUUAUACUCUUCUAGUUAUUUUUUAAAUGUACAAUAAAUUAUUGUUGACUAUGGUCACCCUGUUGUGUUAUCAAACACUAGAUAUUAUUUAUUCUAUCUAACUACAUUUUCAUACCCAUUAACAUCCCUACUUCCCCCCAACACACACACACCCUUUCCUGCCUCUGGUAACCAUCAUUCUACUCUUUAUCUUCAUGAGUCCAAUUGUUUUAAUUUUUGUUAGCUUCCACAAACAAGUGAGAACAUGCAAUGUUUAUCUUUCUGCACCUGGCUUAUUUCAC
Molecule: long non-coding RNA, 898 nt
Filed under: Homo sapiens (human)
Lineage: Eukaryota; Metazoa; Chordata; Mammalia; Primates; Hominidae
Description: HSALNT0168234
Source: RNAcentral